Molecule: long non-coding RNA, 1579 nt
Filed under: Salmo salar (Atlantic salmon)
Lineage: Eukaryota; Metazoa; Chordata; Actinopteri; Salmoniformes; Salmonidae
Description: lncRNA (ENSSSAG00000087218.1)
Source: RNAcentral
GGACAUUUCUCCUCCCCAGCCCCAUGGACACCCCUAUUGCUGUUAUGUUGUGUUUAUAGCUACAUGUUGUGAAUGAUUUAGUUGACUUUUUCUUCAAAUAUCGCUUAAUAAACAUGAAGCGUGACUGGACUAACUAGCUAGCUAACGACAGCAGCAGUUACCGUGGGGUGCGCGAGGAUGGGCGCCGUUGACUUUGCGGAGUGUCAUUAUUGUAACUUUUGUAACGUUUUUACACCGGUCAGAUUUCAAAUCAUUCAGAAGACGCACUAAUGCUGGAGUCCAAAGGCAGCAAACAGGGAGAAGCGGGCUGAUAAAUAUGAGGUUUUGACUGAUCGCUAACCCUACCAUCCAGCUGCUGAACAGGACCGGUACGUUGGCCCUACAUCCUUACAGUACACGAGGACGCACAUACAGUGCAGUGGACACAGUGCUUGCUUUGGAAACAGUCCAUGAUCUUUUGAGUAUCCUGUGAGGCAGAGCAAGGUGCCCUGUGGUCCAGGUUUUUGGGGGGAAACAUUCCCCCAGAUGAAUCCAAAAUGUAGCAGCCAUUAAGACAGACAGGAGGAGGAGGCUGGUUCCCCUGCAGCUGGACAGCAUGUGUCCAGCUGCAAUCAAAUCAGCUGGGCUAGGGAGGUCUGCCCUGUACUUAAGAUUGAAGGUAUUUGAUAGCUGGUGUGUUUGGAAGGGGGAGGUGACCUGAUAAAUACCAGAGGAGCCAGAGACUCUGCCUAUGGAGAUGGAGCUGCCUGUUGCGCCAACACAAGCUAGAGUCUCUAGAGGAAAUGUGGGAGAUGCGGCGUCUCCAAGACGAGGUCUACUGUCUCUCUCUGGCUGCAGACCAGGAGAAGGUUCUGUGUUCCUGCCGGGGGCGAUUGGUAUAGCUUACCGCGUUCACUGGCUGUUUGGCCGGGCGGCCAGCUCGAGGAAGAGUCUUCGUGGUUCCAAACUUCUUCCAUUUUAGAAUGAUGGAGGCCACUGUGGUCUUGGGACCUUCAAUGCUGCAGCAAUUCUUUGGUACCCUUCCCCAGAUCUGUGCCUCGAAACAAUCCUGUCUCGGAGCUCCACUGACAAUUCCUUCGACCUCAUGUCUUGGUUUUUGCUCUGACAUGCACUGUCAACUGUGGGACCUUAUAUAGACAGGUGUGUGCCUUUCAAAAUCAUGUCCAAUCAAUUGCAUUUACCACAGGUGGACUCCAAUCAAGUUGUAGAAACAUCUCAAGGAUGAUCAAUGGAAACAGGAUGCACCUGAGCUCAAUUUCGAGUCUCAUAGCAAAGGGUCUGAAUACUUAUGUAAAUAAGGUAUCUGUUUUUUAUUUUUAAUACAUUUGCAAAAAUGUCUAAACCUGUUUUUUGCUUUGUCAUCAUGGGGUUUUGUGAUGUCAUUAUGGGGUAUUGUGAUGUCAUUAUGGGGUAUUGUGUGUAGAUUGAUGAGGAUUUGUAUUUAUUUACUCCAUUUUAGAAUAAGGUUGUAACGUUACAAAAUGUGGAAAAAGUCAAGGGGUCUGAAUACUUUCCCAAAUGUACUGUAUAUCCGUAUUGGCUGUUAAUGUUCACGUAAUGACCAUUCAUCUGAAAUUAA